GACAACGUGCCAGAGUGGUUAAUGGGUAUGACUCGAACACUGGGUCUUAGUGACACAUCAAGAUAUCAUAUGGAUUCGUCCGCGUAGGUUCAAAUCCUGCCGUUGUGC
This 108-nucleotide transfer RNA is filed under the name Drepanopeziza brunnea f. sp. 'multigermtubi' MB_m1. RNAcentral describes it as "Marssonina brunnea f. sp. 'multigermtubi' MB_m1 tRNA". It matches the Rfam family "tRNA". From Rfam's summary of the family: Transfer RNA (tRNA) molecules are approximately 80 nucleotides in length. Their secondary structure includes four short double-helical elements and three loops (D, anti-codon, and T loops). Further hydrogen bonds mediate the characteristic L-shaped molecular structure. tRNAs have two regions of fundamental functional importance: the anti-codon, which is responsible for specific mRNA codon recognition, and the 3' end, to which the tRNAs corresponding amino acid is attached (by aminoacyl-tRNA synthetases). tRNAs cope with the degeneracy of the genetic code in two manners: having more than one tRNA (with a specific anti-codon) for a particular amino acid; and 'wobble' base-pairing, i.e. permitting non-standard base-pairing at the 3rd anti-codon position. The record is from Rfam by way of RNAcentral. Lineage: Eukaryota; Fungi; Ascomycota; Leotiomycetes; Helotiales; Drepanopezizaceae.